UACGUAGGUGGCAAGCGUUGUCCGGAUUUACUGGGCGUAAAGAGCGCGCAGGCGGUUGAUUAAGUCGAAUGUGAAAGCCCCCGGCUCAACUGGGGAGGGUCACUCGAUACUGAUCGACUGGAAGGCAGGAGAGGGAAGCGGAAUUCCCGGUGUAGUGGUGAAAUGCGUAGAUAUCGGGAGGAACACCAGUGGCGAAGGCGGCUUCCUGGCCUGUUCUUGACGCUGAGGCGCGAAAGCUAGGGGAGCAAACGGG
This 253-nucleotide ribosomal RNA is filed under the name uncultured bacterium. RNAcentral describes it as "partial 16S ribosomal RNA". It matches the Rfam family "Bacterial small subunit ribosomal RNA", at positions 524 to 776 of the family's 1533-position model. The record is from RNAcentral.